Molecule: ribosomal RNA, 460 nt
Filed under: uncultured bacterium
Lineage: Bacteria
Description: partial 16S ribosomal RNA
Rfam family: Bacterial small subunit ribosomal RNA
Source: RNAcentral
CCUACGGGUGGCAGCAGUGAGGAAUAUUGGUCAAUGGCCGGAAGUCUGAACCAGCCAAGUCGCGUGAGGGAAGACUGCCCUAUGGGUUGUAAACCUCUUUUAUAAGGGAAUAAUACGAGCUACGUGUAGCUUGAUGCAUGUACCUUAUGAAUAAGGAUCGGCUAACUCCGUGCCAGCAGCCGCAGGAAUACGGAGGAUUCGAGCGUUAUCCGGAUUUAUUGGGUUUAAAGGGAGCGUGGGGGGGUUUUUAAGUUAGUUGUGAAAGGUUCGGGCUCAACCGUGGAAUUGCAAUUGAUACUGGCAGACUUGAGUUCAGAUGAGGUAGGCGGAAUACGUGGUGUAGCGGUGAAAUGCUUAGAUAUAACGUAGAACCCCGAUUGCGAAGGCAGCUUACUAGACUGUGACUGACGCUGAAGCACGAGAGCGUGGGUAUCGAACAGGAUUAGAUACCCCAGUAGUC